AUUGAACGCUGGCGGCAGGCUUAACACAUGCAAGUCGGGCGGAGAUGAGGUGCUUGCACCUUAUCUUAGCGGCGGACGGGUGAGUAAUGCUUAGGAAUCUGCCUAUUAGUGGGGGACAACAUUCCGAAAGGAAUGCUAAUACCGCAUACGUCCUACGGGAGAAAGCAGGGGAUCUUCGGACCUUGCGCUAAUAGAUGAGCCUAAGUCGGAUUAGCUAGUUGGUGGGGUAAAGGCCUACCAAGGCGACGAUCUGUAGCGGGUCUGAGAGGAUGAUCCGCCACACUGGGACUGAGACACGGCCCAGGCUCCUACGGGAGGCAGCAGUGGGGAAUAUUGGACAAUGGGGGGAACCCUGAUCCAGCCAUGCCGCGUGUGUGAAGAAGGCCUUAUGGUUGUAAAGCACUUUAAGCGAGGAGGAGGCUACUGAGACUAAUACUCUUGGAUAGUGGACGUUACUCGCAGAAUAAGCACCGGCUAACUCUGUGCCAGCAGCCGCGGUAA
This 501-nucleotide ribosomal RNA is filed under the name uncultured bacterium. RNAcentral describes it as "partial 16S ribosomal RNA". It matches the Rfam family "Bacterial small subunit ribosomal RNA", at positions 30 to 523 of the family's 1533-position model. The record is from RNAcentral.